CAGAAUCACUUAUUUUAUAAUAUCUAUCAAUUUGUUUUAAAUUUUAAUGUAAAAGAGAGACAUCGACAUAUAACCGUAUUACUUCUGUUAAAGAUGACUCAAUCGAUUCAUGUUGUUGAUACACCCAUCUUGUGAUUUUGCCAGGAAAUUGUGCCGCUUAGGAAGAUUUGUCGCAGGCCUGAAACUGAUUACAGACUACAGCAGCUUCAUGCUGUGGGUGAUUCAGCACAUGUGGAUCAGCAGAAGAGUGUCAUGGAUCCAAAGAAAGCUGAAACAACUGAUGUUCAACCUGGAAAUUCCACCAUCAUCCCAUUCUCAGGGCCAGUCCAAUACUAAAUGAUGCCUAAAACAAACUUUAAAGUGGGGUUUUUUUAUUAAAACUUGAAAAAUUGCAGUUAUUCUCUCAUUUUUAUACUUUUAUUUAUUAGUUAGUAACAAUUGAUGAGGGAACUAGGGAAACCAAACUUGAGAUUGGGAUGAAGUUUUGUUGCUGCCGUUGCCGUUUGUUGAGUUUUUCGUGGAGUUUUGUUUUAUUAAUAAGGGAACUGGGGAAACCAAACGUUUGCCAGACUAGUCAAACGUGGGAUGAAGUAUUUAUUUUUCUUUCUAUGGAGACCAUUGAGGUUGGUUUUUUGAACUGAGGCCUUGAUUUUUAUUUCAAGCCUUCCUUACAAAAAGACUAUUGAACUUAUCACAUGAAUAUGCGGUCUUUUUUACUUAGUAAAUUUUUUUUUUACUCAGUAAAACUACUGGGACCAAAAUUUUAUUUCAUUUUUUUUUAGAAGUUCUAUUCCACAAAUGAUGGUCAAACAAAUGGAGAGAAGAUAGCAGUUAGCUUAAGUAUUAUGAUGCAUGUAUCAUUUUUGUUGCCUGAGGUUUAACACAUGCUUUUUAACUUUUAACCUUAUAUAUUGAAUCAGUGAUUCCAUAAAAAAGUUUCUUGUUCAGAUACAGUCCUCUUAACUUCUCGUUCUGAAAUUGUCUCAUAUUAAAUCCCUAUUUCCCGUUGGAACUUUUCAUUCAAGUUGCCAACAUUUUUAUGAGAGGAUCAAUGAAUACAGAAUGACUGCAGAACAAUGAACUGAACUAGCUUAUGACUGUGCUUGUUGCUGUUGCUUCACAAUGGUGCCAUUUGAAAAGAGGCAGAAUCACUUAUUUUAUAAUAUCUAUCAAUUUGUUUUAAAUUUUAAUGUAAAAGAGAGACAUCGACAUAUAACCGUAUUACUUCUGUUAAAGAUGACUCAAUCGAUUCAUGUUGUUGAUACACCCAUCUUGUGAUUUUGCCAGGAAAUUGUGCCGCUUAGGAAGAUUUGUCGCAGGCCUGAAACUGAUUACAGACUACAGCAGCUUCAUGCUGUGGGUGAUUCAGCACAUGUGGAUCAGCAGAAGAGUGUCAUGGAUCCAAAGAAAGCUGAAACAACUGAUGUUCAACCUGGAAAUUCCACCAUCAUCCCAUUCUCAGGGCCAGUCCAAUACUAAAUGAUGCCUAAAACAAACUUUAAAGUGGGGUUUUUUUAUUAAAACUUGAAAAAUUGCAGUUAUUCUCUCAUUUUUAUACUUUUAUUUAUUAGUUAGUAACAAUUGAUGAGGGAACUAGGGAAACCAAAC
This 1608-nucleotide long non-coding RNA is filed under the name Lotus japonicus. RNAcentral's name for it is "long non-coding RNA (LJAP_LNC002020)". Lineage: Eukaryota; Viridiplantae; Streptophyta; Magnoliopsida; Fabales; Fabaceae. The record is from RNAcentral.